AUGUGGCAUCAUCAAAAGAAAAUAAGAGCAUAUCUAUACCAAGGCCUUCUAGACAGCAUUCAAGCUGGAGAACAGAAUGGAGAUGCAGUCAGAAAACGGAGAGUACUUGCCUCAUCAUUUAUUGGAGGGCCACGAGAUAAACUUCGUCGGUAUCUGGAUGCUAUGGCUUUAGUUAGAAAAUAUGGAAAGCCAGACAUAUUCCUAACAAUGACCUGCAACCCCAACUGGGAAGAGAUCACACGUGAACUAGAGUUUGGACAAACACCACAAGAUCGCCCAGACAUUGUCGUUCGUGUUUUCAGGGCGAAGCUAGAAGAAAUGAAGAAGCAACUAUUUGAGAAGGCCAUUCUUGGAAAGGUUACGGCAUAUACAUAUGUCGUAGAGUUCCAAAAGAGGGGAUUACCCCAUGCUCACUUUUUGCUCAUCAUGACCGGAAAAUACAAGUGUCCAGAACAGUACAACAGAAUCAUCUCCGCUGAGCUCCCUAACAAGCACAAGUACCCAGAGCUAUACAAAAUGAGAUGGGUGGUUCCUUACAACCCCUGUUAA
Molecule: ribosomal RNA, 549 nt
Filed under: Triticum aestivum (bread wheat)
Lineage: Eukaryota; Viridiplantae; Streptophyta; Magnoliopsida; Poales; Poaceae
Description: partial small subunit ribosomal RNA
Source: RNAcentral